GACCUGGAGCAGGCAGAUCUACGGCCCAGGCCGUUUUACGCCCCUGUUGUUCCUGAUGCGUCCAGUAGGGGGAGGCUGUACAGUAUGAGCCAUCAGAACAGAAGCGACACGAAUAAGAGAUGGGAAAUGCCUGCAUGAAACUCGUCUAUGAAGAGGGCAAAGACAUGUACACUGCCAACAUGCAUGUUAUUGCC
Long non-coding RNA from Sinocyclocheilus anshuiensis, 194 nucleotides. RefSeq lists it as uncharacterized. Lineage: Eukaryota; Metazoa; Chordata; Actinopteri; Cypriniformes; Cyprinidae. The record is from RefSeq and is a predicted model, not a curated record. The transcript is spliced from 3 exons.